Molecule: ribosomal RNA, 253 nt
Filed under: uncultured bacterium
Lineage: Bacteria
Description: partial 16S ribosomal RNA
Rfam family: Bacterial small subunit ribosomal RNA
Source: RNAcentral
GACAGAGGGGGCAAGCGUUGCUCGGAAUUAUUGGGCGUAAAGCGCGUGUAGGCGGCUUGGCAAGUCGGGUGUGAAAGCCCUCAGCUCAACUGAGGAAGUGCGCCCGAAACUGCUGAGCUCGAGUGCCGGAGAGGGUGGCGGAAUUCCCCAAGUAGAGGUGAAAUUCGUAGAGAUGGGGAGGAACACCGGUGGCGAAGGCGGCCACCUGGACGGUCACUGACGCUGAGACGCGAAAGCGUGGGGAGCAAACAGG